RNAcentral lists this unclassified non-coding RNA (145 nucleotides) under soil metagenome. RNAcentral's name for it is "partial internal transcribed spacer 1". The record is from RNAcentral.
UAAUAAGUGUUUUAUGGCACUUUUUAAAUCCAUAUCCACCUUGUGUGCAAUGUCAGUCGAUCUUCUUCAUGGAGAUCGACCAAACAUCUACCUUUAUCUUUUAACUCUUUGUCUGAAAAAUAUUAUGAAUAAACAAUUCAAAAUA